Mytilus californianus (California mussel) is the source of this 1019-nucleotide long non-coding RNA. RefSeq lists it as uncharacterized. The transcript is spliced from 2 exons. The record is from RefSeq and is a predicted model, not a curated record. Lineage: Eukaryota; Metazoa; Mollusca; Bivalvia; Mytilida; Mytilidae.
AUUUAACUAUAUUUUACCCAAACAUAUCGUUCCAAUGUGAGUCAGACAGUUCUCAAGUUUAAUUAUCUGUAACUAUCAUUUUGUCAGUCUGAAUAAAGUCUGGCGUUUUGAUAAUAUGACACUUAAUAAAAAAGGUAAAACAUAAGGACCCUUCAACAGUAAACUCAUCAUAGAUACCAGUCUUAAAAUGAGAAAUAUCGACAUAUCAUAAAUUUAAAUAAAUCUAUUUGCAUUUACUUAUUGAAAUGCCAGCAUUGUUUACCAGUAUUUUAUUCUAGAAAUAAUUAAUCGAUCAGAUGCAUUUCCACCAAUUAGAUAAAAGUGUAGUACACUUUAUUUCUACUUAAGUGAUAACCUUUUGUUAGAGGAUUUAAUGAAUAUAACAAAUAAAAGGCACAAUAAAUAUACAAAGGAUAGGAUAAAAAAUAGACCGAGCCAAAGUAAAACUCUUACAGACCGAAAGAAUAAAGGAAGGUUAAAUUAUCUUAAAUCCAUCCAUAUUAUCCAUUUAACUGCACAAUGGAAAGAAGUUGUAAUUUGAUACAUGUUUUAUUUGUCAAUUCUUUUGACAUUUUAUAUUUUUUAAAAGUCAAUGGUUAACUAAAUGUGAAGCAAUAAGGUCACUGUUAUUAUAUAAACAUUGUUAACAUAGUCAUAUAGUAUUAGUCUGUUAAAAAUCAAUAACGUAAUUUGUGCUUUUGAUGCUGGUUGAAACCCUAUACAUUGAAGAAAAAAUUCAACAUCAUCCCUUUUCGGAAACGUUCUUUUUUUGCAUAUAAACCAUAUCCUAACCAAAAAUAUUGUUGAUCACAAGAUUGCAAACAAUAGUGUUGAUGUGAGACACUUAUCUUUUGUGGUAAGGUUAUGGCCCAUUUUAAACUCCAUUAAAACUAAUGAUAGAAGUGUCAUUCUGUUUUUAAAUGUAUGAAUCUUGACAUGUUUAUCUUUAUUUCUGUAAGAAAGGGACACAAUUAUAUCAAUGUAUUAAUUUAUCAAUAAAACUCAUCUACGACUGAAAA